Molecule: small nuclear RNA, 159 nt
Filed under: Capsicum annuum
Lineage: Eukaryota; Viridiplantae; Streptophyta; Magnoliopsida; Solanales; Solanaceae
Description: U1 spliceosomal RNA
Rfam family: U1 spliceosomal RNA
About the family: U1 is a small nuclear RNA (snRNA) component of the spliceosome (involved in pre-mRNA splicing). Its 5' end forms complementary base pairs with the 5' splice junction, thus defining the 5' donor site of an intron.
Source: Rfam by way of RNAcentral
GAAUCUAGCCGGACGGGGUCAAUGGGCGAUCAAGAAGGCCCAUGGCCUAGUUUGGUGACUUCAAUUGCACUUUGGAGGGGUGCCUGCCUAAGGUCAACCCAAGUGGUUGAGCCUACGUUCAAUUUUUGGCAGUGGGGGCUUGUUUUAGCGUGGCCCCUA